Long non-coding RNA from Gadus macrocephalus (Pacific cod), 645 nucleotides. RefSeq lists it as uncharacterized. The record is from RefSeq and is a predicted model, not a curated record. NCBI's taxonomy places the organism in Eukaryota, Metazoa, Chordata, Actinopteri, Gadiformes, Gadidae. The transcript has 2 exons.
GCUUGGAGUUGGUACCAUCUCAGCUGUGCUGACCUGGAAGAUGUCAGCAAUGACUUGUUCUUUAAGGCCAGUUGCUACUCUACAACAGUAGAUGAAAAACUCAUCAAUGGCUGGAAUCUUCCUUGAAGGGCUUGGUGUUGGAAUCGCCUCUUGUCCAAUCCUCUGUGCUUUGCUCCAAUAAAGAAUAUAUUGUGUUGAGGGGCAAAACAGACUCCCAAAACACUUGAAACACUUCUUGAGAUGGAAACCGAAAGUGAUGUGAAGUAUAAUAUGUCAUGGUCUGAUCAGACACACAAAAUCUGUUGAGGACAGUUUGUGGCCCCAUGGACAUUUCUUGCAGCCUUGCCUCCAGCUCAGCAAUAUACUCCAGGGCAUCAUCCAGUGCACCUACAAAAAAAGAAGACAAAUCAGUCUUCAUUACCAUUCAUUCGUAUUCACCCUUUCUUUUUAUUGUAUUGUUAUUCUGUAUACUUAAGUUUAUUUAUAUUUAUUAUUAUUAAAUUUAUUUGUACUGUUUUCUGUUUUUCUUUUUUAUGUAUUAACUAUAGGUUGAGUGUUGUACAUAGAGUAAAAACCAAAGUCAAAUUCCUCGUUUGUUCGCAAACCUGGCCAAUAAAGCUGAAUCUGAAUUAAUAUGUAACCCCA